UACGGAGGGUGCAAGCGUUGUUCGGAAUUACUGGGCGUAAAGCGCGUGUAGGAGGUUCGCUAAGUCGAAUGUGAAAGCCCCGGGCUCAACCCUGGAAGUGCAUCCGAAACUGUCGUACUAGAGUCCUGGAGAGGAAGGUAGAAUUCCUGAUGUAGGGGUGAAAUCCGUAGAUAUUGGUAGGAAUACCUGUGGCGAAGGCUGCCUUCUUGACUAUGACUGACACUCAGACUCGAACGCGUGGGGAGCAAACAGG
RNAcentral lists this ribosomal RNA (253 nucleotides) under uncultured bacterium. RNAcentral's name for it is "partial 16S ribosomal RNA". It matches the Rfam family "Bacterial small subunit ribosomal RNA", at positions 524 to 776 of the family's 1533-position model. The record is from RNAcentral.